RNAcentral lists this microRNA precursor (128 nucleotides) under Sarcophilus harrisii (Tasmanian devil). Its description in RNAcentral is "MIR480 microRNA precursor family". It matches the Rfam family "MIR480 microRNA precursor family". The record is from Rfam by way of RNAcentral. Lineage: Eukaryota; Metazoa; Chordata; Mammalia; Dasyuromorphia; Dasyuridae.
UAUUCAUAUUAAUUGAAAACAUUCUUUAUGAGAGAAACAGAAUUGAUUGUUUCACAAUCAAUAUAAACAGUAGACUACAUCUCUGACAUUCAUAAAUAACAGAAAGAUAGAGAGAUCCCAUUAUGUUU